AUGAACAUCGGGUUAUUUGGCACCAGAAUUCUACGGUGGAAAGCUCACAUUCAAGUCAGACAUAUACAGUUUGGGUGUUAUAAUCAUAGAGAUAUUAAUAUGCCGUAUGAAAUAUACCAAAGACUGCUCUGCUUUGAGUAUAUACCCAAAGGGUAUCUUUAUGAUUAUAUCACCGGUCACAUUCAAGUCAGACAUAUACAGUUUGGGUGUUAUAAUCAUAGAGAUACUAACAUGACAUAUGGGAUAUACCAAAGAUUGCUCUGCUUUGAGUAUGUAUCUAAAGGGAGUCUUCAUGAUUAUAUCACCGAUGCAUCUCGUGGACUUGAAUGGGGCAAGAGGUAUCUAAUUAUUAAAGGAAUUUGUGAGGGCUUAUAUUACCUUAAACAAGAAAGUAUUAUUAACUUAGAUCUGAAACCAGCCAAUAUAUCGGUGGACAACAAUAUGUUGCCCAAAAUUGCCGACUUUGGUCUCCCAAGAUGUUAUGAUGAAAAUCAAAAUUGGAUCAAUGUAAGCCGGUUAAGUCUCUCAAAGCUCAUCAAUGGUGGCUUUGUAGUGGUUUAUAAGGGAAUUCUUUAA
This 576-nucleotide ribosomal RNA is filed under the name Triticum aestivum (bread wheat). RNAcentral's name for it is "partial small subunit ribosomal RNA". Lineage: Eukaryota; Viridiplantae; Streptophyta; Magnoliopsida; Poales; Poaceae. The record is from RNAcentral.